RNAcentral lists this long non-coding RNA (28963 nucleotides) under Phaseolus vulgaris (common bean). Its description in RNAcentral is "long non-coding RNA (PVUL_LNC001467)". Lineage: Eukaryota; Viridiplantae; Streptophyta; Magnoliopsida; Fabales; Fabaceae. The record is from RNAcentral.
CUCCCUUCCAUUUCUCUUGGGUUAAGUUCUUUGUUGCAAAGUUGAUGUCUGAAUUUCUAUGUGGGGUAUUGGCUGGACCAAUUAAUGAACAAUGAUUGUGAAAAUUAAUUUUUUGUUUGUCUUAUAAGUAGUAGAAUUUAAAUAUAUUAUGAUAAUUAUAUAUGCAUGUUUCUCUCUUUAUGUAGAUGGAGAAUAAUGGUGGCUUCAAUGUCUUCGUCAAUCCCAAUGUGGACUACGCAUUCAUAGUGGCGCUACUUAUGAUUGUUAAGGACAUGAAUUGUUGUGAUGAGCCCCAGAAUAGUACAAAUACAAAUAAAACUAUUAGUGCCCUAAAAAUAAUUUCAUUAUCUUUUUGAAGUAGCUAAAUAAAUAUAUUGAAUAAGAAAAUAUAAAUAAAAGUGAGGAAAUAAGUUUGGAGUCCUCCCUAAUGUACUUAUAUAGAUGUCUGUUGUAUUAUGUUGUAUAUGGCUAUUUCUUUAUCUUUUAUUAUAUCAAUGACAGUAAAGUUAAUGGUAACUUAUAUAGAUCCGAAAUGUGUGGGAGAAGUUUUUUUUACCUUAUCUCUUGUAAUAGCAAAACCCAAACGACACAAUUUUGUAGGCAAAACAAAAAAAAAAACAUUCAUGGUAUAGGAAAAACUUAUCUUAAAGUUAGUUAUAUCAACAAUUACCAAGUUGAUAUGUUAUGUAAAUAACUUACUCACGAAUUAUUCUUUGAAUAAUAACUUAGUUAUAGGUAAGUUACCAUUGAAUAAAUUUGUGAAUAACUUCGUAGAUCAAUGCAUGCAUGGAUAACUUAUCUAUAGAAUUUCUUUUAGCUAAAUCAUGCAUGGACUUUUUUUUAUGAAUAAAUCCAUAAGAAAUAGUAAGAAUAUUUUUCGUCUUCCAAGUCAUGCCACUCUAUACUUCUAUAGUUACAAAUGUGAAAGAAAUUUUAUCUCAACAUUUAAAUAUCAUAUCUCAAAUAUUCAACGUUUAGUUCAAACAUCCAUAUGCAACACACUGAAAAAAAAAAGUUUUAAGGGGAUUUAUUUUUACAUUAUUCAGGGUUAAAACCUCUAUUAAGUCAUUUAUCCAGGGUUGCAGUUUCCCCGCUAAACCAUUCUUGGGAAACGUGUUCAUCGGGGUUCUUUUAAACCUUAGGAAAAGUCUUUCACAAUCCAUGUUCAUGGGUUUAAGAACCUCCGUAAAAUAUCAUGAGUUUUCAAAACCUUCGUAAAAUAUCAUUAGUUUCAAAAUUUUCGUAAAAUGACUUGCCAUUUGAUAUAACCUUCAACCUCAUUUUCCAUCAUCUUUAACAAUUCUCCGGACUUCUCUCUUCCACUUUAGAUACACUGCUCUCCAGCACAUGCUCAAUGGCCGCCAACGACAGUCCUAGUAAGGAAUCACAAUUCAGCCACACUUAUGUCUAAGGAGAAGAAACAUUAAAUAAGGCAUUGUCUUCUUCGAACUCCAAUAUUGUUCUUCCCCAACUUGGAUCACAAGCCACUAUUAUCUAACACAGCAACAACUGAUGUUUAUCACUGUUUUAUAUAUCCUAAAGAAUUGCAUUAUCUAUCAAAUGUGGGCUUCAAAACCAUGUGUGUUCUUGACUAACAAUUGCAAGAACAUAUUGCAAGAAGAAAUUAACUUUAUUACUUCUCACUUUUACAGUGAAUUAAUUAUUAGAUGUAUUUUAAAAUAAAGGCCUUAAUUUAAAAUAUUUCAAAAUUAUGAGAAUUAAAUAUUAACAAUUAUAACUAAAACUAAAAUUGCACAUAAAAUAUACGUACAUCAAAAGUUAAAACAAAAUAAGUCAGAUUUUUUGAAGUAUGAGCUCGUAACAAAAAAAAACUAGGAAUUAUAUAAACCAAAUAAUCAAUCAUAAGAUAUAUGCAAAUAUUGUUAAAAUACUUAUUAUCCAAGAUUAGUUGUUGAAAUACUUAUUAUCCAAGGUUUUUUUGUAGAUUUUUUAAAAUAAAUUUUUGAAACUUGAGAAAACUUAUUUGUAAUGGAAAGUUACACUUUCAAAAUUUUAGAGAAUUUAGUUAUAAAGUAUAUAAAAUAUAUUUAAACUAUGUAGUUUUAAUUAUUUAUUUAUAAAUAGAUUUAAUUAUAUUUAUUUAUUCAAGUUUGAAAAAUAUGGAGUGUUUUAUUGAGGUUCUAUAAUAAAUCUUUGAAAUUUAACGAAGGUUAAAAAAACUCUGUUAUUUUGUUGGGAUUUUAGAAUAAACCUUUGAAACUUAACAAAGGUUAAAAGGACUUUAAUUUACUGAGGUUGUAGAAUAAACCUUUGAAACUUACUGAAAGUUAAAAAAAUCCUCUGUUAUUUUGCCGAGGUUUUAGAAUAAACCUUUGAAAUUUAAUGAAGGUUAAAAAAACCUCCGUUAUUUUGUUGAGAUUUUAUAAUAAACCUUUGAAAUUUAACCAAGGUUAAAAAACCUCUGUUAUAUUGCUGAGGUUUUAAAAUAAACCUUUUGAAUUUAAUGAAGGUUAAAAAAAAAUUCGUUAUUUUGUUGAGAUUUUAAAAUAAACCUUUGAAAUUUAAUGAAGGUUAAAAAUGUAAAACAUGGAAGCUUUGAUGAUCCAAAUCAAAUCUGAGUGAAGGGUUGAUGCUUUGGUGUUUUGGUUGGAGCUUAGUUCUAGGGUGUUUAGAAUUCUUGUACAGAUCAUUCUUGUCCUAUGCACAAAGCUAAAUCAAUCUAUGUUAAAAGAGAAAAAUGUUUUUCUAAGCAAAGAGAAAAACAACCGGUUGAAAUCACGAUAUAAUCAGUUGUUUUACACUUAGCCUGAUUGAAGGUUUUCAAUACUGUUUUUGACUUGGUUGACUAACUGUCAUAACCAAUUCAACCGGUUAAAACGACAUUUCAACCGGUUGAUUGUCACGUUUCAUAACAUCUUUUUCAAAAACCUGUUGAAUCUGUUUUCAGUUCGGAAGAUUUGUAUAAGAGUUAAUCUUGUCAACCUGAUUCUAGUGUUCUUGGUCCUUGUUGUAAGAACAAUAUAUAUAGCUUACAUAAUAGUGUUAAUGAUUAUAGUCUNNNNNNNNNNNNNNNNNNNNNNNNNNNNNNNNNNNNNNNNNNNNNNNNNNNNNNNNNNNNNNNNNNNNNNNNNNNNNNNNNNNNNNNNNNNNNNNNNNNNNNNNNNNNNNNNNNNNNNNNNNNNNNNNNNNNNNNNNNNNNNNNNNNNNNNNNNNNNNNNNNNNNNNNNNNNNNNNNNNNNNNNNNNNNNNNNNNNNNNNNNNNNNNNNNNNNNNNNNNNNNNNNNNNNNNNNNNNNNNNNNNNNNNNNNNNNNNNNNNNNNNNNNNNNNNNNNNNNNNNNNNNNNNNNNNNNNNNNNNNNNNNNNNNNNNNNNNNNNNNNNNNNNNNNNNNNNNNNNNNNNNNNNNNNNNNNNNNNNNNNNNNNNNNNNNNNNNNNNNNNNNNNNNNNNNNNNNNNNNNNNNNNNNNNNNNNNNNNNNNNNNNNNNNNNNNNNNNNNNNNNNNNNNNNNNNNNNNNNNNNNNNNNNNNNNNNNNNNNNNNNNNNNNNNNNNNNNNNNNNNNNNNNNNNNNNNNNNNNNNNNNNNNNNNNNNNNNNNNNNNNNNNNNNNNNNNNNNNNNNNNNNNNNNNNNNNNNNNNNNNNNNNNNNNNNNNNNNNNNNNNNNNNNNNNNNNNNNNNNNNNNNNNNNNNNNNNNNNNNNNNNNNNNNNNNNNNNNNNNNNNNNNNNNNNNNNNNNNNNNNNNNNNNNNNNNNNNNNNNNNNNNNNNNNNNNNNNNNNNNNNNNNNNNNNNNNNNNNNNNNNNNNNNNNNNNNNNNNNNNNNNNNNNNNNNNNNNNNNNNNNNNNNNNNNNNNNNNNNNNNNNNNNNNNNNNNNNNNNNNNNNNNNNNNNNNNNNNNNNNNNNNNNNNNNNNNNNNNNNNNNNNNNNNNNNNNNNNNNNNNNNNNNNNNNNNNNNNNNNNNNNNNNNNNNNNNNNNNNNNNNNNNNNNNNNNNNNNNNNNNNNNNNNNNNNNNNNNNNNNNNNNNNNNNNNNNNNNNNNNNNNNNNNNNNNNNNNNNNNNNNNNNNNNNNNNNNNNNNNNNNNNNNNNNNNNNNNNNNNNNNNNNNNNNNNNNNNNNNNNNNNNNNNNNNNNNNNNNNNNNNNNNNNNNNNNNNNNNNNNNNNNNNAGUUGGUAGUGUAGCACAGGUGUAGUGACAAUAUAAUAGUUGUGUAUCUCUUCUCUCUCUCUCUCUCUCUCUCUCUCUCUCUCUCUCUCUCACUCCUUAUAAACUGUUUGAUUUUAUUUUGUAUUGAUGCUGUCAUAAAAAACCGAUUAAAACGAAGUUUCAACCGAUUGAUAUUCUGCAAACAGUUUCAAUUACCUUGUUUGAUUGGCUUCCUUGAUUACUCUUCUGUGAUUGUUGUUAAAACUUCAUUCUUAUCCAAUCUUUUCAAAAAUCUUUUGACAAACAAUUCACCCCCCUCUUGUUUAGGCCAUUAAUUCUAACAAAAAAAACCUUCGUUAUUUUGUUGGUGUUUUAGACCAACCUUUGUAACUUAAUGAAGGUUAAAAAACCUUCGUUAAUUAAAUCACAUCCUAGGGUUAUAUUAACCUCCACUAAAUAACCUCCGUUAAAAUCCUUUUUUUCUUGUAGUGACAACAACAUUUAACUUCAAACUAUAUUUUAACUUAAAACUCUAUAAAUUACUAAAUGUUAAGAGUGUGUAACUUGACAGAGGGUGUUAACAAAAUGUUUUCCUAUCGAAAAUCACAACCCCUCACACAAAGUCCACCCCCGAUGUAUGAAUGGGAUGAGGAUGCAUGAUCCACUCAUCAUAUUUCGAUAGGCAUCUUGGAGGGUGUGGAGUGGUGUGGCUCGAACUUCCCAUCCUCCUUAUUGCUCUCUCAUGGUAGGAAUUCACAUAGAAUUCUCUCAUUAUGCUCUCGUUGAAAGUGUGUUGAGUUGUACCAACUUAUUCAAUCUUCCGCUCUUUAAUUUUAAGACAAACCACUCAUAUUUACCUUACUGAACUCUCACCCAUCUUUGAUAUGAGUUUCUUCUACAUAUUUGCUUUAAAUGAUACUCAAGAAGUGGAGGGUAGAAGAUAUCCCCAUCAUAAAGAAGUUAUUCAUUAUUUCGAUUGUCAGCACUAGAAUAAGAGAUCCCUCUCAAAAGAAUCCAUUGCCUUUUAGUAACAUUGUUGGAGUCAAUCACUCUUGAUACAACCCAAUUCAAUAAGCAGAUGACUAAGGACACCACGAAAAUUUCACAAUUAGGUUAGUCAUCUCAACAUCCAAGACAAGACCGUACCAAACAUCAGAAGGACCUCAGCAGAAGAAAAACUGGACAUAGACCAGAGCAUCAAAUGUUGUUUCUUCUUGUCGUUUUACAAGACAAGUUUAUGUAAAUAAUUUUGGCUCUUUCUAGGGGUUCAAAUAGAAAAAUAAGCUAGAGUAGGGUGUACUUAGUAUAAAUUGGGCUUGUGCCAAAGCCCACCUUAACCUAGCCUCUAGAAACACAUCCAUGUGCCACCCAUGUGCUCACCUUUGACCUAGAUUCUAGAAGACUCCCCAUGUGCUCACAUUUGACCUAGUUUCUAGAUGCUUGUAGUCAUUUAUACCCCUACCGUUCCUCUCUUCCUCUUCAAGGCACUUAUCUCUAUAAAUAGGGUGUCUCCCCUCUUGUAAAGAACACAUUGAAUUUUGAAUAGAAAAUAAAAUUUGCCAGAGUGUUUAGUGAGUUGAGUCUCCUAGAAUUUGGGUCUUAUCUUGAGUGCUCUACACUUCAAGUGGCGGCUCUUCACCACUCAUCUUGGAGUCUCCUCCCCCUCCAAGUGGCGUGACCACACCUUCAUCAUCCUAAGCUUCUCUUUCCUUUCAUCUUUUUAUUUUUCUUUUCCUUUAUGUUCUUGUGUUCAUCUUUUGCUAUUCAGUUUCCAUCUUCUUUCUUUCCCUUAUAUGCUCUUUAAUUUUGCACCACAUUCAUCAUCAACACCAUAUAAUUGUGUUUUCUCUUUGUCCUCUAGAAGUGAACCUUUACACUUACUUAAUCACGUGGUUAAGUUCUUGUCCAGUGGGAAUCUUCUUUGAGUUUCUCACCAUAUUCGACUUAAAAUAAAAAACCAUAAACAAAAUGAAACACAUAAAAAUGUACAAUUCUAAAAUUAACUCACAUCAACUUUUCUCAUAAUCAUUGUUCUAGUCAUCUAUUAAAAAAAAUAAUAGUAUUAGAAAGUCAAUGCAUCAUUUUAUGUAAAAAAAUAUUAGUGUUAGUUUUUAAAAAAUAAGAAGCACUUAAGCGAAGACGAAAUUGUUUAAAGUGUCAAUCAUUUAAAUGAUAAAAAAAAAUAGGGUCUAAAGGACAUCAAUCAAGAAAGUUAGUAUUUACUUAAUGUUCAACGAGGUGCUUUAAUGUCUUCAAAUCCAAGUGGAAUGCAUGAAGAUCCUUGUUGUUGGUUGUGUGUGUCUAAAAGUAGUUGAAUUUGUUAAUUCACUCCUUGUGGUGAUCCAAGGUUAAAUGAAUCUUAAUCCUUUUGAAAAAAGAUAUGUUUUCUAAAGAAAUUGAAAAUUCAACAUGUUGAAAUGUCGAUUCAACUGGUUGUUUUACACUUAGUAGAUUUUGAAAAGGUUUUGGAAAGCUUGACUUUGUUUGAAUUUGCUAUCAAGCCAAUCGUUUGAUUCGUGAUUUCAAUAGAUUGAUUUUCUGAAAACCUUAACAAAAUUUUGUUAAGUUGUGGAAAUUUGUUUUAAAUGAUUAAAAUUGCUUUUGGUUCUUGAAUUAAAUGCUUUGACCAUCUGAUUGGAGUUUAAAUAAGUUGUUUUACGCUCCUGGUCAUUAACUAAGUAAGAGAGUUUAAUCAAAACUAAUUUUUCAAGAUUUCAAAGUGUUUUGGAUCAUUCUCAAGUGUGGAAUAGGAUAUUCAUGUAUUCUCUGUACUUUAAUCUUUGAUUGUACCUAUGUGUAUUCUAUUCCUUUAUUUCUUGAUCACUGUAAUUCUGUUUGACUUGGUGUUGUGCACUUUCAGAGGUUGUUCUGAAAAUUGUGUGUUGUUUGCCAAAGGUGGUGUGUGUUCUUGAAGGGUUCAAGAUCACCAUUUUGGUGUGUUGUUUGUAAUUAGGGUUUGAUUACUCAGUGAAUUCUUAGUGUUUUUUUAGUAUUGGAUGUAGUUCUUGGUAAAGAGUGAACGAGUAUAAACAUUUUGUUAUCCUUACUCUUUUUAAAACUACUUUAGCUUUGAUUUUAUAAAUUGCUAGUAUAAACAACCAAUUGUUUAAAAAAACAACGGUUGAUUUUCUGUAAUCAAACUAAGAACAGUUUUCUAAUUGGCUGAAAUGAUUGGUUUUCAAUCUACCUUCGAUACUUGCGAAAAUCUUUCAUAAACAAUUUAUACUCCAUCUUUUUUACGGCUUAAGUUAAAUUCAACAUACAUUUAAGAGGCAAUCAUUUAAGUGAAUUAAGACACUUAAGUGCUUUCACUUAAACAUACUUAUUUAAACAUACUUAUUCUAAUAUAAGAAGUUAUCGCUUUAAGCGCAUGAUUCUUCACACUUAAAACAAAUUUGAAAAACACGAGCUCACCAUAUCUUUCAAAGCUACCCUCAAUAACUAUAACUAUACAGAUGAAAAUUACAUUUAUUGCUAUAGUAAAUAUUUGUUAUUGAGAGAACAAAUGUAAAAUAGCAAGCAAAAACAUAAAUAAAAAAGGAGACAAGAAAAGAAAAUAUAAAAGUGAAGUGCAGGAAUGAUGAUAACAAAAGAUCACAUGAUGAAUGCCAAAGAAUCUGAAGAAAUUAUAAGUGGAGAAAGUAGAAAAGAAAGGUAUGUUAAAAAAUGAGUGGGAUAGGAAUUAUACAAGAAGGUGAGGGACGAAUAGAUGUAAAUAUGCUUGUGAUUAGGUUAACAACGAUUAAAAGGUUAAAUAUUUUUAAUUUCCGCUACUUUGAAAAGUUGGUAAAUUUUAAUAUCUUUAAGCACAUGCAACAGUAAACUUAAAGCAGGGGUUAAGUUGUGCUUAACUGAUGUCAAAACACAGAUUAAUUAAGCACUAAAGCAUGAAUUAAGUUGCACUUGCGCUUAAAUGAAGAGAUGUGCUUUACUCAUGACUUUAUGUGACUGCAUUCAAUCACACAUAUAUGCAUCAUUCUUUAUAUUUUUAUCAAAAAAAAAUUUAUUAAUGUAAAAGAGAUUUUUUAUAUAUUAUUUAAGAUAAAAAUUUAUGUACGUUAAUGGAUGUAAAUUUACGUUGGACCCGAUCUCCAUUAUGUCAAGGCACAGCACAAUAAACGUGUAUUUAUAAUAGAAAAAAAAAUUGUACAAAAUUUAUGUCGGAUAUUAUAAGAUUUUAUGUAAAUUUUUGGAUUUUUUUUAAAUUACACUGGGUUUGGCAUCAAACCAAAACCUGAAAUACAUAAAAAGUAGACAUUUUAACUAAAAAUUCUAUACUAAAUCUCUAAUCUAACUUAAAAAAAAUAUGAACAAGAAAAAAAAUCUAUACUAUCAUAAUUCACGUAUAAACAAAAUUUAAUAUUUUGAUAAAUUUUUGACAAUAUAAGUACACAUGUGUACAAAAUAAAAGUAAUUACAAAUAAUCAUGGUCAAUAUCCAAUCAAGUAAAAAUACAUUAAAUUAUAAAAUUAAAAACAUAUUAAAUUACAAUUAAGUGGAAAUACACAUUAAUAUGAAAAUGGUCGAAAAUCAAAGCCAAUGUUACAAUUAAUGUUUACUUUUAAUUCGGUCCGCGAUCCAAGUAAAAUUAUUAAGGAGCUCCUAUAAUACUGCUCACUAACAAUGGCGUUAUUUUGGUUGUCAAAUUCAACACUUCGUUGUAGUAGAAUUUAAUGUCAUUAAUAAUCAUAAGUAGUGUCACUAUGAAUGCGUAGUCCACAUAGGGAUUCACCAAGACAUUGAAGCCAUCAUUAUUCUUCAUCUACAAAGAAACACAAACUAUAUAUGUUCCUUAUUGUAUCACUAAUAUACAAACAUUGUUUCUAUAUUGAUUAAAAGGUUCACAAACAUAAAAAUAUGUUUCUAUAUCCGAUAAUGUAACUAUUAGUGAUAACUAAUAUACUCUUAUAUGAGUAGAGUUUUUAAGCUUACAUAUUUGUUCUUCUCUUUGUUUAGAGGAUCAUCAUAAUACAACUCUAUUUUUUAUCUUAUUCAUCUUUUGUAAUAUGGUAUCUAGAGCUUAUUAAGAUCUGGCCAUGAAUUUUAUUCUUUUUCUUCUAUCAUGCAUUGUAUAAAUUUUUCUAUUUCGUCCUCCUUUCAGCCUCAUACUUUUUAGCCUCCUAUAUAUUUCAAGUUGGAUGAUGACAAUUUUCUUAUAUGACAACAAGUUCUUACGACUAUCAAGGGUCCCCAAGCUCACACAAAUCUUGGAUAAUCCUAAUCCUCCUUUCAAAUACAUAUAGAAGAUGUCGUGAACAACAUUGUAAAUCCAAAAUUUCUUCAAUACAAACAACAAGGUCACAUUCUUGUUGCAUGAUUCCUUGCUUCAAUGUUUACGCUCAUUCUUACAAAGAUGGUUGAUCUAAAUUCUUCCUUCAAAAUAAGGUCCAAGUUAAGGGUGUAUUAUGCGUCUUAGAAUAAAGAAAGAAUUAAGAAACUCAAUAUUGAAUUGAGUUCACAAAAGAAAGAUAGAACCUUUAUGGCGUAUUUGUUAAACAUCAAAAAGUGUGUUGACACUCUUGUUACUAUUGGAGCAACUCUUUCCAAUGAAGAUCAUCUUGAAGCUAUUCUUGAUAGAUUACCUAAAAAUUAUGAUAGUUUUGUUACUUCAAUCAUGUCCCAUCUUGAUCCUUACAUAGUUGAAGAAGUAAAAGCUUUAUUGUUAUCUCAAAAACAAAGGUUUACCAAACAUAGAUAUGUUAUCCACACUUUGGUCCAUCUAAUGAAAACCAACUGAGCAAAUCAAUAUUUGGUGGUUCAUAUUAGAAAAAUAAUCAUUUUCAAUCUCGCAACUCUUCAUCCAGCAGGUUCUUUAAAAUUUUUCAACAUAAACAACAAAAUAGAGUUUUUUUCAUCAAUUCUUAGAACUCCUUCCAAUGUUAAUGAUCCCUUGUGGUAUCCGGAUAGUGGAACAUGCCAUUCUCUAAAUCUAAUACUACUUAUACUACUACUCUUGAAUUAUUGUUCAUUGAUAUAUGAGAUCCAUCCCCGAUUACUUCUAAUAUUGGUGCUAGAUAUGUGACUUUCUUGGAUGCUUUUUCCCAAUUCACUUGGAUAUAUUUGUUGCAUAUAAAAUCUCAAAUCUCUAUUGUCUAUACUCAGUUUAGUUUUUUUUUUUAUGAAACACAAACUAGAUAUAAGUUGAAAUCAAUUCAAACGGAUAAUGCAAGGAAUUUAAUAGUCUUGCAUCAUUUGUUAACAUAAAUGCCAUAAAACAUCAAUUAAUGUGUCCUCAUACACAUGAAUAAAAUGGAUAUAUUGAACGUCAACAUAGACAUAUCACUGAAACUGGUUUGACUCUUUUGGCUAGUGCAUCUAUGCCACGAAAAUUUUGGGAAAAGGCUUUAAUGUUGUUGUUAAUAUAAUAAACACUUUAUCCACCGUUGUUCUUAAUAAUAAAUCUCCUAAUCAUGUGUUCUUUAAAAAACAAUUGAAUUAUGCUAGUUUAGGGACUUUUGGUUGUGCUUGCUACCUUUUCUUACACCACUAUAAUAAGAACAAACUUGAUUUCGAAUUCUCUCUUUAGUUAUUUCUUGGAUAUAGUAAUCACUAUAAAAGAUAUGUUUGCCUUUCCCAAAGGUGGAUGUACCUACAUUUUUAGACACAUGGUCUUUAAUGAAAAUGCUUCCCCUUUUUCCACCAAUGCUAAGUUUUUUCUACAACACAAUUCAAAUUCGCCUAUGCUUUCCUCAACUCCUUUUCCCUUAACUAUGUUUAAAGUUGUUUUUGCCACACUUGAUAAGACCCCAGAUAUUCCCGUUACAACUCAAUCCUUGUCUUCACCUAUUCCUAAUUUCGUUGCUUUGUCUAAUCUACCUGUAACUACUCCAACAACUACUUUUGACGCUACAACCUCCUCAUCACCUUCUCACAACGUGCAUCCAAUGGUAACUCAUGCCAAAUCAUUUAUGUUCAAACCCAAACCUUACAAUGUUUCUGUUUCUGAUAACUACAUUGAACCUGCAACUUUUAAAUAAGCAAUAUGUUGGAGAUCCCACAUCGACUAGAGAUAAGGGCCUUUCAUAGUAUAUAAGUGGGUGCAAACCUCAACCUUAUGAGCCGGUUUUAUGGGGUUGAGUUAGGCUUAAAGUCCACUUUGUAAUAUGGUAUCAGAGCCAUUUCGAGCCUAUCCUAGCGAGUAUUUGUGUUGGGCCUAUCGUGCCAUUCGCUAUCGGACCACCCAAAAAUAUAUAGUCCCACGCACGAGCUUCUAUCUAUCACUCUCGGCGUGAGGGGGGUGUGUUGGAGAUCCCACAUCGACUAGAGAUAAGGGCCUUUCAUAGUAUAUAAGUGGGUGCAAACCUCAACCUUAUGAGCCGGUUUUAUGGGGUUGAGUUAGGCUUAAAGUCCACUUUGUAAUACAAUAGUUGAUCCUAACUAGUUUAAAGUAAUGUAAUUAGAACACAAUUCUCUUAUGAAAAAAAAAACUUGGACUCUCACUAACCUCUCAUAUGAUUCAAAUUUUAUUAACUGUAAAUGGGUAUACAAAACCAAGUUCAAUGCAUAUGGCAACUUCCAAAGACACAAGGCACACUUGGUUUUUAAGGAAUUCCAUCAAACACCUGGUAUUGAUUACUCUAACACAUUCAAUCCAAUUGUUAAACCAAUCACUAUUUGGAUCAUCCUUGCUCCUGCAAUGUCUUGCAAAUGAUCUAUCUACCAAGUUGAUAUCAAUAAUGAUUUUUUCCAUGGUGAUUUAAAGGAAAUUGUAUACAUGCAACAACCACUAGGAUUUAUCUCAUCAAAUACACAACAAGUUUGUAAGUUGAGCAAGACCAUUUAUGAUCUUAAAAAAACACCAACUGGGCGUUAUUUUAUAAACUUAGCCACACUCUUAUCCUGAUGGGUUUUUUUGCUAUAAAGAGUGACUUUUCCUUAUUCACGAGGUUCAAUUAUGUUUCAACUCUACUUAUGUUGAUGAUAUCAUUAUAAUUGACAAUUGUUCUAUUGCAAUAUCAUCUCUUAUUACUUUUCUGCAUACCCGAUUUGCUUUUGAAGAUCUUAGUCCUUUACUUUAUUUUGUUGGAAUAAGGAUGUUGGAUUAAAUGCUUGCCACAUGGCCAAAAGUUAUAACUUUUUCUGCUUAACCUAACCCAUCUAGCCUCCGUCAUAGAAUAAUUGAUGUCACCUGCAACAAUAUCCCCUUCAACAAUUUUCCUAAUAGGAAUCAAACCCUUUGAUUGUGACUUGGCCCAUUUGACCCGCGCCACAGGACAAUUGUGCAACUUUCAACAAUCUCCCCUUAAACAGUUGCCUCACUGUGAAUUAAACUCGUGACCUUAGUUUAGAUACCAAUUGUUGGAUUAAGCGUUUACCACUAUGUCAAAAGUUAUAACUGAUAGUCAUGGUGCAACACUUUCUACUUAAGAGCAUAACAAUUUAAACACCACAAUUCCAUUAUAACCUGACCCAUCUAGCCUCUUCCAUGGAACAAUUGAUACCACUUACAAAACAAAGGAGACCACUAUUCAUCUUUUUCAAACCAAAUACAUUGAACAACUUCUUUGUAGAGUGAACAUGUAUGAACCUUAGCCUCAACCUACUCCAAUGAUAACAUCUCUACACCUCAUUCAAGAUGGCUAAAAUCUUUCCUUCUGCAAUAUGUUACUAUUAUAAGUUCAAAAUUAACUUCUUAUAUUAAUAAAGUCUCAAUAUAUGUACCAACCUCAAUAACAUCUUUAGAAAGCCCUUAAACAUGUUCUAUGUUAUCUAGCUCGAACAAUUUAUUAUGUUCUCGUUAUUCAACCUUCCAAUAAUUUCUCAACCAUUGGGUUUACUAAUGCUAAAUGGGAAUGGGAUUGUGAUCUUGGUGAUUGAAAAUCAACAAUAGUAUACUGUAAUAUCUUAUAUCUUGGCAAAAAUGUGGUUUCAUGAUGAUCUCAUAAAGAAUGUGUUGUGCCCAAAAGUACCACAAAGGUUGAAUAUCAUAGCAUCUGCAACUCUAACUGAUAUUACUUGAAUUGUCUCCUUGUGACGUGAAUUGUGCAUUAUUGAUCAUGUUCCAAACAUAUAAUCAGAUAAUCUAAGUGUUGUCUCCUAGCAACUAAUCUAAUUUUUCAUUCUCAACCAAAACACUUUGAGUUGGAUUUUCAUUUUAUUCGUGAUCAUAUCCAACAAAAAACUUAUUAGGCUAAUUCACCUUCCAAAAAGGUUUUAAAUGGUUGACAUUCUUACCAAACAUCUCUCUCAUUUACUAAGUUUCGUGAUAAACUUCUGGUCUUUCAAAGAUCAACCAUAACUUUACUGAGGAAUGAUAAUGCAAUUUUCAGUGAUAAUGUAAUCGUUAGUGAUAACUAAUCUACAAUUAUAUUAUUAGAGUAUUUCUAUAUGCUAUAUAUUAGUUACUCCCUCUGUUUUGAUAAUUAUCAUAAUACAAUUUCGUUUUUAUCUUCUUCCUCUUUUGUAACAAUAUUUGAUACCAAUGUAGAAACUCUCCAACAUUACUAUUAAAAUAUUUAUAUAGUAAGAGUACAUACCGUGGCAACAACCGUAGGAGAUUCACCUGCAAAAACAGUGCAUGAACUUUUGUCACUUGAAAUGUUUACCCUAAAGUCACGCACACUUUCUUUUUUGUUGUUUGCAAGGAAGACAUCUAAUUUAAUCACUCCACUCUGGAGAAUUUCCGAUUUCUUCACCGAGAACAGCAAUUCGGAGGAAUCACUGCUUUGGCCCCUGAAAACUUGGCAUCGUCGGUGCAUAGUCAUGAUCUAUUAUAAGAACAUUCGUCCAUAGUUUAGUAACUAAGGUGAUUUUGUUGGAAUGUUGAAUUUGUUAGAAACGAGGAAUAGGGUAUAAAAAUGCAUGAACACAGUACAAUCCAAUUAUGCAAUCAGCCCUAAGAGGAAGUGGAAAAACUAUAAAACCAUGCGUGAAAUUAAGGUUACGAAAAAAUUAAGAAAACCGCAACUAUGAAAUAAUAAAAAAAAAAAAGCCAACUUGAUAUAUUUCAAUAAUACAACAUUGACUUUUCACCGGACAAAGUAAAAAGUAGUUAUAUAUGAUUGAGCUACGGGAAAAAACACAUUAACUUGUAACCUUGCAUUUUUUUUUGUCUAUCUCUAUUGCAAGUAAUCAUUAAAGCUGAACAAAAAGUUAUUGUUAAUGGAAAAAUAAAAAUAUUAUAUUUCAACACGUCCCCUUCAAAAUGUCUUUCAACAUUCCAAGAUUUUAUCUUAACGUAAGGCCAUUGGUUACGAUUUAUGCAAUAUGAUUCUCAAAAUUGCAAUGGUCCAAGCCUACUUUUUUUACGUAUGUGCUUGUCUAAUAAUAUCAUUUAAUUCCGUUAUAUCAAAUGACUCAUGAAAUUGAUAGGAUGAAAGGUGAAUCGAAAUGUUGGAAAGAUUAAGUCUAAAAGUUGAAGAGUAAAAAAUAUAAAUAAAUAAAUUAUAAUUGAUUAUUGUAGCAAAGUCCAUAAUAACAUUAUCUUAAUAGAAUACUAUAAAUAGGUCAUCAAUUUAAGAGGUAUGUAGAGUGAAUUUAUCUGAUAAUUAUAUAAAGUUGAAUCUGACUUUGGCAUCGGAGCGCCUUGCAAUUACACACACCCAUCCGUGAAAGGAGACCGAGAGGAGAAGCAGAGAGAUCCAGUUAAUCCAACCCAACCAAGUGAGCUUGCCAAACAAAUAAGUCCAACCUAAAGUUAAGGUAGGAGUGAACCGAAAACCCAACUCGUAAGUAGAGACCGAGAAGCCUAGAAGAUUUAAGAAGUUAACACAUUUUAAAAGAAGAACAGUUUCUAGACCCUUGUACCAAAGUUUAUGUAUACCUUUUCUGAUUGGAUUUUGAACCCUCUUAUGGUUGAAAAUCUGUUAAUCUAUUAAUGUUGUUGUUCUUCUUUUAUGUUUUGCAGGGGAAAAGGAAGGUGUACGGGUACUCAGGCUACACCCAACAGGAAUAGUUGGCUUCUUAGGAAUGUAGUCAACCAGAGUGAAGGAUAAUAUUGCUGCAUGAGUGAGUUAGUGAUGGUCUUAGAUGUAGGGGAGAUUGGGUGACAUACAAAGCAAAUGAUGAAGAAUAGCACCGAAGAAGAAAAUCUGUUGUGUGAUGAUAGUGCUUGGUACACUAGUGCAAUUUCUUUGGACCUACUCUUAUCCAGUAUGCAGAAUUAUGUUGCAGAAUAUAUGGUAGAAAUAGCAUUGGAUACUGAUAAAGAAGAAGUGUUAAGCUUGGGUAAGAGAAAUCAUAUCUUGUAAAUGCUUUUGUUUGUAAAAUUUUCUAAUGGUUCAACUCAAGGGCUACUUAGCUCUACAAGGUUGAAAGAGAAUAUUGGUGAAUAUUGAUCUCUAUUAAGGAAAUAAUAAUUAUCAAAUUAUAUGUAAUUAUUGUAUGCAAUAUUUGACGAUAUUGUACCCAAUUAUAUGCAAUUAAUUUAAUAAUUAUAGAAUCUCAUGAUUAGUAUCCUACCUAAUCAGAUUGUAAUUUGAGGGAGAGAAACUCCCUUAUAUAUUUCCUAUACAUGAAGUGAUGUAAUAUGCACAUAAGAGAAUAAGAAACAUCUCUUCUUCUUACCAUUUUUUAUCAUUUUCUUAUAUGGUAUCAGAGCACCGAUCUUGGUGCCCUGACAGCCUCUCCAUUUUUAUUCCCUAAAUAAAAAAUCAUGUAUGGCAAAGAAGUCACUAGUAACGAGUCCGAUAGAAACCUCGUACAACGCUUCAGUGCCGAGCAAAUUCAGCAAUUGGAAAAGGUUAUUUACUCGCUCAACAAUAACGGUAAAAGUGACACGUUUGUUAGCUCUGCAGAUCUGCUUGCCCAUAACUCCUCUUCUAAUUCUGCUUUUACGAAACCAUGGAUUUUGGAUAGCGGAGCAACCCAUCACAUUGCAUCUGAUUCACAAUUUUUCACACACACUUCAUCAUCAUUUAUUUCAAAUGUUAAUCUGCCCACAGGCUCAACUGCACCCAUCUCAUCUACAGACACAAUUAAAUUCAAUGACAAAAUCACUCUCAAAGAUGUUCUUUGUGUUCCUUCUUUUAAUUUAAAUCUCAUGUCCAUUAGUAAGAUAACCAGUUCACUAAAUUGUUGUGUCGUUUUUACUCCACAUGGUUGCGUUUUACAGGACUUGGCUACGGGGAGGAUGAUGGCUCGGGUAAACAACACGCAGGCUUAUACUACAUGUCCCCUCUUCCAAACCAAGCCCACACAUCUCAAAUAUCGACCGAUCCUGAUUUAUGGCACAAGCGCCUUGGACAUCCUUCUCCGGCGUGUCUACAACUUGUAUCUUCCUUACUACCUAUCCCUAUCAGUAAAAAUCUCAUUUCCAUUCAUAAUCGUUGUAGUAUUUGUCCCAAAGCUAAACAGACAAGGCUACCCUUUCCUUUAAGCACAAUAAAAUCUCAUUCUCCAUUUAAUCUAUUGCAUUGUGACAUUUGGUGUCCUCAUAAAACCCCAACUCAUUUUGGAAAACGUUUUUUUCUCACUAUAGUCGAUGACUAUACUAGAUGUACUUGGCUAUUUCUUAUGAAUCACAAAUCUGAAACCCAACAUCUCUUAGAGUCAUUCAUUACAUUUGCACAAAAUUAAUUUCAGGCAUCUAUUAAAACCAUCCGCGUUGCCAACGGAUUGGAAUUUAUUUCAAUGUAUGAUUUUUUUCUUAAAAAAGGUAUUGAAUGUCAACGCACUUGCGUUUACACUCCUCAACAAAAUGGAGUAGUAGAACGCAAACAUAGACAUGUUUUAAACACAGCACGAGCCCUCCUAUUUCAGUCCAAUUUACCAUUAGAAUUUUGGGGAGAAUGCGUUUUAACUGCCACAUAUAUCAUUAAUCGCUUGCCAUCACCUUUACUAAAAAAUAAAUCACCUUUUGAGCUACUAUAUAAUCAACCACCUUCACUUUCUCACCUAAAAACUUUUGGUUGCCUCUGUUACGCAACUGUUGUUUCACCUAAGCAAAAAUUUGAUCCGCGCGCUCGACAAUGCAUCUUCAUUAGUUAUCCUCACAGUAAAAAAACAUACAAAUUAUUUGAUAUAGAUGUAGACACUUUUUUUACAAGUCGGGAUGUCAUCUUCUAUGAAAGUGUUUUCCCAUUCCGCCAACAGUCACAGACACAAUCCUCACCUCCAUUACAAGGUAUUUUGCCCACUAUUGACAUUGACUUACCCACUCCUGUCCAACAUUCACUCGAUCAACCUUCUUCUCUUACUCAUUACAAUGCACCUGAAUCUCCAUCAAACCAACCUUCUUCUCCUACUUGUCACAAUACACCUGAACCUCCAUCAAACCAACUCUCUUCUCCUACUCGUCACAAUGCACCUGAACCUCCAUCAAACCAACCUUCUUCUCCUACUCGUCAUAAUACACCUGAACCUCCAGUAGACCAACCUUCUUCUCCCAUGCCAAGAAGUUUAGCACCCAUUACCAAACCUUCUCCAACCGACCUUCCUGUUCGACGAUCCAGUCGCACAUCAACCCAACCUUCCUGGCUUCAAGACUACGUAACGGGAUCCCAAGCCAAUCAUUCGACCACUGCCCAAGACCGACCGAAUGGAACCAGGUAUCCUAUGAAUCAUUUUCUUUCUAAUUCACGAUUUUCUUCUACACAUAGUGCAUAUCUUGCUAACAUCACAGCCACCAAAGAACCUCACACUUAUGCUAAAGCUAUCCUUGAUCCAAAUUGGCAAAAAGCAAUGGACGAAGAGCUUUCCGCCUUGCAGCUAAAUCAAACGUGGACCUUGACACCGUUACCCGCUGGGCAGAAACCCAUUGGAUGCAAAUGGGUCUAUAAAAUAAAGUACAACUCAUAUGGUAGCAUCGACAGAUAUAAGGCGCGCCUUGUCGCAAAGGGGUACACUCAGAUUGAAGGUGUCGACUAUUCUGAAACUUUUUCACCUACAACAAAAUUAACAACUUUGAGGUGUCUCCUCACCAUUGCAGCAGCCAUAAAUUGGUUUACUCACCAGCUAGAUGUGUAAAAUGCCUUCUUACAUGGCACAUUGCAUGAAAUUAUUUACAUGGACUUGCCACCCGGCAUCAUCGACAGGGGGAGAACAUUGUAUGUCGACACAAAAAAUCCCUUUAUGGUCUCAAACAAGCAUCUCGAACAUGGUUUUCAACAUUUUCUCAUGUGAUUAAAUCUGUAGGAUUUCAACAGUCCAAGACAGAUUACUCUCUAUUCACAAGACAGAAUAACUCAUCAUUUACUGCCCUUUUGAUUUAUGUGGAUGAUAUUCUUUUGACAGGGAAUGAUUUGACCGAAAUUCAGUGUGUUAAAGAUUGUUUAUUACAACAAUUUCGCAUUAAAGAUCUUGGAGACCUAAAAUAUUUUCUAGGGAUUGAAUUUUCCCGUUCCAAAGCUGGUAUACACAUGUCCCAAAGAAAAUAUGCACUUGAUAUUUUGCAGGAUACGGGACUCACAGGUGCUCGUCCAGACAAAUUUCCAAUGGAACAAUACCUAAAACUCACACCAGACGAUGGAGAGUUAUUAAAGGAUCCAGUCAAAUACAGGCGACUCGUGGGACGACUGAUAUACCUCACGAUUACUAGACCUGACAUAGCAUUUUCGGUUCGGACCCUAAGUCAAUAUAUACAGGAUCCACAGAAACCUCAUUGGGAUGCUGCAAUUCGAGUCCUAAAGUAUCAAAGUAUCACCAGGACAAGGAUUGCUAUUGCCAUCCGAAAACAAUUUGACAUUGACAGCUUAUUGCGACUCAGACUGGGGAGGUUUUCAGACAACUCAGAGAUCAGUAUCUGGAUAUUGCAUUUUUCUUGGUUCCUCUAUUAUCUCAUGGAAGUAAAAAAAAACAGACAAACGUAUCAAGAUCAUCAGCGGAAGCAAAAUACCGCGCAAUGGCCAAUACUUGUUUGGAGAUAGUUUGGUUGCGAUAUCUGUUGCAGGAUUUAAAGGUGCCAUGUAACUUGCCAGCUUAACUUUUCUUUGACAAUCAAGCGGCAUUACAUAUAGCAACAAAACCAGUAUUUCAUGAACGCACAAAACACAUUGAGAUAGACUGCCACAUUGUGCGAGAAAAAUUACAAGUUGGGAUAAUCAGUCCUUCAUAUGUGCCGACACAGUAUCAGCUCGCAGAUAUUUUUACGAAGGCAUUGGGCCAGGAACGAUUUUUGACGCUACGACACAAGUUGGGGUUCUUGAUCUUCACUACCAACUUGAGGGGAGUAUUAAGGAAAUAAUAAUUAUCAAAUUAUAUGCAAUUAUUGAAUGCAAUAUUUGACGAUAUUGUACCCAAUUAUAUGCAAUUAAUUUAAUAAUUAUAGAAUCUCAUUAUUAGUAUCCUACCUAAUUAGAUUGUAAUUUGAGGGAGAGAAACCCCUAUAUAUUUCCUAUACAUGAAGUGAUGUAAUAUACACAUAAGAGAAUAAGAAACAUCUCUUCUUUUUAAGUUAUUUUGCUGAAUAUGUUUGGUAUUAAUGAUGGAAGAUCCUUAUUUUUUCUUCUGUAAUUUUUCUUUAUGGAUAUUGCAAGAGCUUUUAUUAGGAUUAUUUUUGUGCAGUAGUUUUUGUAUAAGAGUUAAAGUAUAAUACCUCUAUUUAUUUACUGUUUGUGCUAAUAAAAAAAAACCUCCAAAAAUGGUAAAACUAUGAAGCCCUUUGUUGAGCAAAGCAAAAGAUAAUCAUAACCAUACCAAGAGAAGAAACAUCGUUAACUUAUAAUUAGAAACAUGUUUUUCUGAAUCGUAAACAAACUUUUAAUCAAUAUUAUAAGCAACCUAAAAAAUUAAGCAGAUAUUUAAUAUCAAAGAUAAAAUGGAAAUCUGAAAUUGUAACAGAAUCGAUAAGGCUAUAAUCGAGUAAUUUGAUGUGGGAAGUGAAGGAGUAUAAUUGGUCAGAGUAGCCAAACCUUCUUGUACAGAGUGAGGAUGGGUUUUCCAGCAUCAUCAUACAAGACACGACGGUCGUGAACUGUUAAAAGGGGACGUUUGAUAUAAAAACGAAGGCGACCAUUUGCGUCGUAAGUGGCACCUUUCUCAGUGUUAAUUUGAAGAUUGAUAGUGUAAGGAGCACAGUAGGAACUGUUGAUAACUUGGAAUGGAUUUUCCAUUGGCGAGGGAGACACAGUAUUCUGAGCUGUAUAUGAUUGAUGGAGCAACCUACGAAACCACUGACUUAUGUUCACGCUGUUAUUGCAAUGUAUGGUAUCCAUGGAUACACGCCUUAAACACGGGACUUAGUCAAACUUUAAACUGAGGCGAAAUGUCAAAUAGGUUAAAUUUUAUGAAACAAGUACGUGCGUGACGUAUGGUAGGUAGUGAAUUAGAGUUAGAAGUAGAAGAAGACUUUAGUUGACUCCAUAGUUAAAACACGGAUAUGAACAUUCCGCAAACUCGAUACCAUGCAACUCAGUCAUUUAAUAGCUUUCAUUACUGGACCCACCAUGCACCAAGGUUUUGUUUUUUCUUAUCAUCAGCUACCUUACCUAUCAGUAUUAAUUGCAAAAAUUAUUAUUAUGAUUUAAGACUUUGUUAGAAAACUAUUUCUGGUAAUUAAUUAUAAAAUUAAUAUAAUUGAUUGUCAGUUUUCUUCUCUUCCGUCAAGAUAUUUUCGUUUUCGCUCUAAUUUUUUUUCUGUCUUUCUCUCAUUUACUAUUUUCUUUUCAUUUUCUUUUAUAUUUUUCUAAAAUACAUUAUAGUAGAUCAGAGAAUAAGAUAAUGAGAUUUCACUUUUCAUUUGUUUUUUCAACUGAUGAACAAUAUGAUUUAAUAACGCCUUAAUAUGACCAUUUGAAUUUACCUGUCAUGAGUCAAAUAAUGAUAAAUUUUUUAAAAAAAAGUGUCUUUUGUAGUGCAAAAUGUGCCAAUUACUCACCAUUUUGACAUUAAAUGUCGAAAUAUACAAUUUUAAAAAAAUGUGGUAAUAUUUUUGUAAAUACUUCAAAUAUAUUUACAUCAAACGUAGUAAGAUUCAACGUAAACAUUCAUUUUUAUGUCAGACAUGUUAAUGUUAAGAUCCAAUAUAAAUAUCCAUGUUUAUGUCAUACGUCAUAUCAUUCAAAUAGAAAAAGUUAUCAUAGUAAGUUUAAUCAAAUUAACAAAGCACUACUAUCACUCUUAAUAAAAGAAAAAAGAUAGUCAAUAUUAGAGAAAUGGGAACUAAGAAAAAUUUGUUGAAUCCAACUUCAAAUAUGCAAAACAUUAAGACAUUCAAAAAAAUAAAUGUUGAAUAGAUUCUUCCUGUUUUUCACACAACAUACACAUAGAACAUAUAUAUGCAAAUCCCUAUGUUGAAUAUGUUGAUCUUUAGGAAGUCAUCAAUUAAAAACUUUUCAGAAUACUAAAAUUUUAGAAGAAAGAAUAUAUGGAUAGCAAAUGAGUUUUUAAUGACGUGGUAAAAAUUAACGAGGUUCCAAAGUAAUUAUUUAUAUAAUAUUAUUAUUUUUAUUUCUUUUCAGUUGCAUAAUCACAUUUGUUACUAAUAUAUAAAUCAACUCAAUUUUUCUCAAUCUAAAUAAUUUCAUUUUCUAUUUUUUUUCUCAUUCUUUCUUAUCGGUUAUGUAUUUUUAAUGACAUAAUUAACCUCAUGUAAUAACGAGGAUGACGGCUUAAUAAUUGUCAGUCACAAUUUUUCGGUAAAUAAAGGCAUUAUAGAUUAAAAACAUUGGUAUUAAUCCUUUUAUAAAAAAAAAAUUAAAUCAAAUAAAUUUUAAUGAUGUUCUCUAAGAUCUAACCGCUCCUUAUCCUCAACAAAAAAAUGACUUACGACACAAUACAAUAAUUUUUUUAUAAGCAUCAUCUUUAAUUCUCAUUCUCAGAUCAAUUCGAAAAUUGACAUUUAUUUUUUAUCAAAUUAUAUAUGUUUUUAAUGACUAGUGGGUAUGUUUUUUAAUCAUUUAUCAAUAUUAAUAUGUUUUUUUAUUAGUAAAUAAUAGAAUAAAAUAAAUUAGAAGAAUGUCCCAGUACCAACCUGCACCUAAUAUGUCUGAAGAAUAUAGUUUAUCAAAUACUUGGAUUUUAUGUCACCGAAUUGGUUUGGAGAGACUGAAAACACCAAGUUCAUGGUACUCCAAUAGAGGGACCAAAAGUGUAUGUGGUUGAAGUGUAGACCAAAAACAAAUAACCUCUGAAGUCAAGUCUUCUCCGCGUUUUCUUGUUUUCCACAUCCACCGUUAAAAUUUUAGAUUAUUGUUUCAAAUUUAUAAAAUCAUAAUUUUUAGAAUUAUAGGAAAAGUUAUAUAUUUAUCUCCAAUAUUAAAUUAUAGGAUUGAAAAAUAAGAAAUUGUUUGGAAUUUUAAUAAACCACUAGAAAAAUGUAUAAGUAAUUAUUUAAAUAAUAUAAAGUAUAGGAUUAAAUCAUUUAAAAUUAUUUUAGUUAAACAUGUUUAGUUUUUUUUAUCAACAAAUAAUAUACAAUAAAUUAAAAUAAAGUCUUUAAGGAAUACUCUAACUUAUAUAAAAAAUAGACUAAAAAUCCUUACAAGAAGUCCAAAAACCGAGUAAUCAGUAAAAAAGAUCUUAAAAACACCAUCAAAUCAAUCUAAUUGCUGUGUUUGCUGUGCCAAAACAGAAGCACCACAACAUAACCUUGUUGUGACUUGGUUUAUUGCAUGAUAUACGAGAGACUCCCAUCCAUCAUUGUGGUAACUCCUACUUAUUAAUUUGUCCUUAUAGAUUAAUUUAUGUGCUUUAUUCUGUUAUAAUUUUAUUUUAUGUAAAUCCUAAAUCCUAAAUCUUAAAUCCUAAUCUUAAUUGAUGUGCUUUAUUUUUUGUUGUUAUAAUUUUAUUUAUAUUUAUUUUUUUAUUCAUGCAUAUAUAUUGAGCAAACUUUCAAUUAAUUAUUUACAUUAAGUUAUUGAACUAUUUGAAAAAAAUAUUUUACAUUUGUUAAGAUGUACAGAUUAAAUCUAACUUUGGAAAAAAAUUAAACCAUUUAUUUUAUUCUUUUUAUAUACAUUUAUUUUAUCAACAAGUAAAGCAAAUAAAGUUUUAUAUAAAAAAAUUAUAAUCAAAUUCUUAUAUACAAAUUCUCUUAAUCUUCAUAAAAAACACAUAUCAGCCGGAUAAAACACUACUACAAAAAAAAUCAGUAUUAUGUACGGAUUUUUAUCAACGGAUAUGAGUCCGUAGGUAAAUUCAGCAUUACCUACGGAUAUUACCUACGAACAACAUUACCUACCGACAUUAUCCACAGAUUCUGAAUCCGUAGGUAAAUUCAACAUUACCUACCAACUAUUAUCCACGGAUCUUAUUACCUAUCAACUUUUACCUACGGAUCUCUAUUACUUACCAACUAUUACUCACGAAUCUCUAUUACGUACGAACUAUCACCCAUAAAUUUCUAUUACCUACCAACUAUUGUCAUAAUAAUUAUACACAUAAUAUUAAAAAUAUUAAUAUAAUAUGAAGAAUUAUAAAAUCAUAAUUCAUAUUCAUAAAAAAUAAUAAUCAUAACUAAUUUAUACAUAUUAUUAAUAUUAUAAAAUUAAUAAUAUUAAUAUAAUAUUAAUAAUAUUAAAUAAUAUUAAUAAUAUUAAUAAUAUUAAUAAUAUUUAAUCAUAUUUAAUCAUAUUAAUAAUAUUAAUAUAAUAUUAAUAAUAUUAAUAAUAUUAAUAAUUAUUUAAUAAUAUUCAUAAUAUUUUAUAAUAUUAAUAAUGUAUACCUAUAUAUAAAGGGGAUUCUCUCUUUAACUGCUCUCAAAUUCUUCCUAUUUUAUCCUUAUAUUUAUAUUUAGUUUUAUUUCAUUAUUUUGGGUAUUGCGUCAUUUCCUUCUUUUUAAAAAUAUUUGAAAUAAAUGGAGGAGCGGUUUUGAAUUAAAAGAGAUGGUUUAUAUUUUGAAAAUGAAUUGCUACAAAAAGAGGGAGUGUCUGUUAAGAUUAUGGGAGAGAAAUAAAUUUAAAAAUUAUUUGAAAUAAAUCGAGCAACUGUUUUGAAUUUAAAGAGAUAAUUUAUUUUGAAAAUUAACUGCAUAAUGAGAGGAGUGUCUGUUUGAUGAGAGAGAAAUAAAUAUUAGGAAAGGUGAGUAAUGAGUAGUGGCCGAACGUGAGCAAUUUUGAAAAUUCUUGAGUAUAUUGACAUUUUGUCAUUUUCCAUUAUUACUGAGCGGUUACAUAGGAGUAGUGGGUUUCAGGAGUUUUCACCGGUUACAUCCACUUCAUUUUCUCUUUUAUAUUUCGACUCCAAAGAAAAAAAUUCUCAUAAAUUUUGACACAUCUUGAACCCUCUUCCUUCACGCUCCGUGUUCUUCUCCUACUCUCACCCAUCUCACGUCCACUACAUCCAUUCCGCCUUUUCAUCGGCCUCCACUCUUUCAAAAUGCUCUCUAAGCACAAAAGAAGUCUAUAUAAUUUUGAUUAUUUAAUUGUUGGAAGAGCAAGUGGAGACGGAAGAAGUAGAAAAUGGAUAAGCUGAUCUAGGUGAAGGAGAAUCAACUAUUCUUCCCAAUCUUUUGCGACCCCUUUCACUAAUCUCAACUAGGUUGAUUCUGAUCUCGCUUGCUUGAACCCUCCAGGAGCAGGUUUCACUUUUAUUCUUUUUUUUCUCAUUCUACUAUAUUCCUUCAUCUUUACUCCCUUUAAUUGGGGAAAAAUGAUUAUUAACGUAACACUAAUUUGUUUGUUUGUUUAUUCAUGUGUUUUGUUUGAGUUUUGGUGGGAUUUUUUUUUUUCAGUGUAUGCAAGGUAAAACAAUUAUUUUGAUAUUUAGUAGUUUUUUUUUGGAUGAGUUUAGAGAGAAUGUCUCCAUUAGAACUGUAAUCACUUUUGUUGUCAUAUUAAAUCAUUAUUAUUAUCUUAUUUUAUAUUUAGUAUUAGAUCAAUCAUGGGGUUUCACUUAUUCAUAUAGUUGUUUUUUCAAUAAUGUUUGCAUAAGUGUUUUUUCUUUUAUAGUAAUGUAAUUGUAUAUCUGGAAAAUUAUGUUUGAUUGUAAUUCACCAUUAAUUAGUAUCUUUUGUCUUCCAGGUGUUAGGCAUGAUGGUUGAUAUUUCUAUAUAUUCGAUGUACAAUUUGGAAACAAAGCCUCACAAGGAAACUUCCUGCUUCUAAAACACGGGCUACUAAUGAUGAAGCAUCUGAAGAACCGGUGAUUGACCAUUCUAACAAUGUUGAGAAAAAAAAAUCUAACAAUGUUGAGACCCUCACAAAGUAGUGUUAACAAUGAGGCACCAUCAACCACUGUUGAUUAAUGUAUUUUCAUAUUCGUGGAAUGUUUGGAAAUAAAAGUAUUCCACAAUAAUAGUAUUCUUUUCUUUUAAUUCUCAUGAUUUUGAAUCUCAUACUUUUUUGUUAAUAUUGGAAAAAAGUUGAAUUUCCAUGUUAUUCUAAAGUUUGCAGAAAAUAUUGUUGGCUAACUCUGUCUCAUCGGAUUUUAUAUUUUAUUUUAUUUUAUUCUCGACUACAAUUUUUAGUUUUUGUUUAUAUUAAUUUUAUAACAAUAAAAUAUAAAGAGAUUAUAUCAGUUUUAGUUAUGCAAAGACUAAUAUUUAUUUAAUUAUUAAAGAGUGUAUUUAGGAUAGCAAAAUGUGAAAAAAAUUGAAUAAUAACAAUUAGGACAUAUAUAAUAAUUUAAAGAAAUAUUAUAUAACUAUUCCUAAUUAAUUUUAUAUAAAUAAUCCUAAUUAAUUUAUUUUACAUUCAAUUAUUUUUAAUUUUUAAAAGAUUAAUGUGGUAUAAACAUUCAAAAUCUUAACCAUGGAAGAUGAAAAAUAUAUAAGAAAAGAAAAAAAAUCAUAAAAUUAGUUAAUAGUUUUACAAUUUUAAUAUAUUUUUUUAAAGAAAUUAUUAUAAAAUUAAGCACUUUUAAUUUAUAACAAUUUAUUAUUUAAUUUUAAUAUAUUUUAAUUUUAGUGUUAUUUAUAUUUUAACAAUCUUAUGUUUGCCACUUGAAUUUAAUACAGAAAUACCGUUUAAAUUAUUAUUAACUAACUUAGUUUUUUUUACUGUAAUUUUAUUAAAAAAUAGUAUUAAAAUAUUAUAUAACCUUAUUUACAAAAUAAAUUAUUUAGUUAUUUUAAAAUAAUGAAAAAUUAUUUGAUUGUUUAUUUUAAAUUAAAUAAAUAAAUUAUAUUUUAUUUACAUAAAGAUUUUUUUGUAUAAAUAUAAUACUAUUUAAAUAAAAUUUUAUUUUUUUUAAACAAAUAAUUGUAUAUACAGUUUUUUUUAUUAAAAUUUCAAGUAAAUCCAAUCUGCUUAAAUGAAUCUUUCGCAUAUCUUUUCAUAUCUUUAUUAUAUUAAAAAAUAUAUAAUUUUAAUAUGUUAAUUUUAAAAUUUAAUUGUUUUAUGUUUUCGUAUUUUUAUUAUAUUAAAGUACAUAUAACUUUACUAUGUUAUUUUUAUAAUUUAAUUUUUUUAUGUUUUCAUAUUUUUAUUAUAUUAAAGUAUAUGUAACUUUAAUAUAUGUUAUUUAUACUUCUAUACCUAUAUAGGGAUUCCCCACUUAACUGACAUUUUAUUUUAUUUCAAUUUUAUCUUUAUAUUUUUAUUUUAUUUUAUUAUUUUAUAAAUAUAUGAUCGAAGAUAUUUUUGUGAGUAGUUUUAAUUUUAUAUCUUAAAGUGAGACUAACAGAAUAGAUAAAAUUAUUUUUAAAUUCAAAAUUAAACAUUGCAAAGUGAGACUUGCUUAGGAGCAUUGCACAAUUGCAUCUUUUUUCGUUCAUCUACAUUUUUAUCCCCAUGAAACGUUUUUUUCGUUUUCAGAAGUUAUAUUAUCAUUCCAAAACCACGAAAUCAACCAAUACGUAUUGUUUUUCAAUUAUAAAAUAGAAGAUGGAUAUGCAAUGUGUGAAUUUACUUUUUUUUUUUAAUGCAAUGUGUGAAUUUACUCUUUUUUUUAAAAUUUAUUUAUGCAUAUGGGUGCACUGUCCAUUCUUGAAUUUUCCAAAGAUUGAAAAUACAAAGAGAGGAUAGGAAGAGAAUACAGGUGUUGCAGUUGAAUGAAGAUAUCAACACAAAGCAUUUACACAUUUAUCUACACAAACAUGUAUUUAUUAAUAUAUGUAUAUUGCAUAUAUAUAUAUAUAUAUAUAUAUGUCUGUGUGUAUUUUGCAAUUUAUUCAUAAUUGACAUUCUUUAGUAGGAAUAAAAUUUGUAAAACAAUGGAACACUUAGAAGGAUGAUCGAACACUCGCAUUGAUUACGCCAAUUAACACCAAAGUAUAAUGAUUUUACAUAAUGAUGAUGAUAAUGAUAUUUUUUAUUCAUAAUAUACUAUAAAUUUAUAUUGUUAAUAUAAGUGUGUAAAUAAUAACAUUAUUUAUUUGAAUUUUUAAUAUUAAACAUAUAUAUAUAUAUAAAUGAUAAAAAUAAAAAAUGCGGAUACACAGGCGUGAGAGCACCUGUGUGCCCGCUAGUAUUUUAUAAUAUUAAUAAUAUUAAUAAUAAUAGGAAUAUUUAAUAAUAUUAAGAAUAUUUAAUAAUAUUUAAUAAUAUUAAUAAUAUUAAUAAUAAUGAUGAUAUUAAAUAUAUGAAGAAUAUUAUUAAUUUUUAUUUUAUUAAUUAAUAAUAUUGAUAAUUAUACUAAUAAGUAUAAUAAUAAUCAUAACUUGAUAAUAAAACUUGAUUGGUGUAAUGGGUAAAACUUUUAUGAACAUUUUUCAAGGGACUUGACUUUUAAUUCUAACAUUAAUUAUAAUUCUCAAUAAUAAUCAUAAAAUUUGGAAAAAAAAUAAUAUUUGUUUUAAAAAUAAAGUAUACUUUGAGUCAGUGGGUGGGUUCUUUCUAUAAACUUUUCACUAAUUAUUUCUUCUGUAGACUUUUUGCUGAUAAAAAAAUUUGUCUCUAUGUGAUUUUUUUUUAUAAGUAAAGUUAUCUCUAUGUACAUACUUAAUUGUGGUAGGGAUACUUAGUUGUUGUAUUAUUUGUGACCUUUUAUUUAAUAAUGCUGUCAAGAUGUUGCAAGUGGGGAUUGGUAUUGAACUUGAAUUAUUUGUUUUAUNNNNNNNNNNNNNNNNNNNNNNNNNNNNNNNNNNNNNNNNNNNNNNNNNNNNNNNNNNNNNNNNNNNNNNNNNNNNNNNNNNNNNNNNNNNNNNNNNNNNAUGAUCGUCUCUUUUAUACUGACGAUACUUUUUUCACACUCCACAACCGUCGUGUCUUAUAUGAUGAUGCAGAAAACCCCAUCGUCACUCUAUACAAUAAGGUUUGGUUGCUCAUGCAUCUAGCAAUACUCAUUCUCAAGUUAAUAAGUUUUAUUACUUUAAUAUUUUCCCACCUACAAAACUAAUCUCUGCUUAAAUUUUUCAUUCUAGCCACUAACCUAACCAUGGUGUUAUUAUUCUCAAUUUUUAUGCAGAUGGUGUCGUUGCAUGGCAGAUGCAAAGUUUUCAGGGGUGAAAGCACUGAUUCAUCUGAAUUGCUAUUUUUGGUGAAGAAAAUCGCGAAAUCACCUGGGAUUACUAAAUUAAACGUGUUCCUCGCAAACAACCAAGGCAAAAAGAACAAAAAAAGUGACUUUAGAGUGAUCAUUUUUGGAAGUAAAAGGUCGUGCACUGUUUAUGCCGGUGAAUCUCCUAACAUCGUAGCCAAAGUAUGAGUACUGAGUUAGUAUAUCUUUCUAUUUAUAUUGGUAAUUCUUUGUUUUUUUAAUAAGUAGUAGAAUUUAAAUAUAUUAUGAUAAUUAUAUAUGUAUGUUUCUCUCUAUGUAGAUGGAGAAUAAUGGUGGCUUCAAUGUCUUGGUCAAUCCCAAUGUGGACUACGCAUUCAUAGUAGCGCUACUUAUGAUUGUUAAGGACAUGAAUUGUUGUGAUGAGCCCCUGAAUACUACAAAUAAAACUAUUAGUGCCCUAAAAAUAAUUUCAUCUUUAUCAAGCAGCUAAAUAAAUAUAUUGUAUAAGAAAAUAUAAGUAAAAGUGAGGAAAUAAAUUUGGAGUCCUCCCUAAUGUACUUAUAUAGAUGUCUGUUGUAUUAUGUUGUAUAUGGCUAUUUCUUUAUCUUUUAUUAUAUCAAUGACAGCAAAGUUAAUGGUACCUUAUAUAGAUCCGAAAUGUGUG